ACGGACGCUGGCGGCGUGCUUAACACAUGCAAGUCGCACGGAAAGGCCCCAGCUUGCUGGGGUACUCGAGUGGCGAACGGGUGAGUAACACGUGGGUGAUCUGCCCUGCACUCUGGGAUAAGCCUGGGAAACUGGGUCUAAUACCGGAUAGGACCGUGCUUUAGUGUGUGCGGUGGAAAGUUUUUCGGUGCAGGAUGAGCCCGCGGCCUAUCAGCUUGUUGAUGGGGUAAUGGCCUACCAAGGCGGCGACGGGUAGCCGGCCUGAGAGGGUGUACGGCCACAUUGGGACUGAGACACGGCCCAGACUCCUACGGGAGGCAGCAGUGGGGAAUAUUGCACAAUGGGCGCAAGCCUGAUGCAGCGACGCCGCGUGGGGGAUGACGGCCUUCGGGUUGUAAACCCCUUUCGGCAGGGACGAAGCUUUUGUGACGGUACCUGCAUAAGAAGCACCGGCUAACUACGUG
RNAcentral lists this ribosomal RNA (464 nucleotides) under uncultured bacterium. RNAcentral describes it as "partial 16S ribosomal RNA". It matches the Rfam family "Bacterial small subunit ribosomal RNA", at positions 29 to 507 of the family's 1533-position model. The record is from RNAcentral.